Molecule: RNase P RNA, 250 nt
Filed under: Holosporales bacterium
Lineage: Bacteria; Pseudomonadati; Pseudomonadota; Alphaproteobacteria; Holosporales
Description: partial RNase P RNA component class A
Rfam family: Bacterial RNase P class A
About the family: Ribonuclease P (RNase P) is a ubiquitous endoribonuclease, found in archaea, bacteria and eukarya as well as chloroplasts and mitochondria. Its best characterised activity is the generation of mature 5'-ends of tRNAs by cleaving the 5'-leader elements of precursor-tRNAs. Cellular RNase Ps are ribonucleoproteins.
Source: RNAcentral
GCCGGUAAGGGUGAAAUGGUGAGGCAAGAGCUCACCGCGCACGUGGCGACACUGUGCGGCGCGGCAAACCCCAUUCGGAGCAAGACCAAAUAGGAAGACCUCUGUGCGCAUAGACACUAGGAAGACCACACUUCCUUUGGUUUUCGGGUAGGUUGCUUGAGCCUAUCGGUAACGGUAGGCCUAGAUGAAUGAUUAGACAUGGGCUUGCAAAAGCCCAGGACAGAACCCGGCUUAUAGGUUCCCUCGAGAC